UGGGGAAUUUUGGACAAUGGGCGAAAGCCUGAUCCAGCAAUGCCGCGUGUGUGAAGAAGGCCUUCGGGUUGUAAAGCACUUUUGUCCGGAAAGAAAUCCUUGGCUCUAAUACAGUCGGGGGAUGACGGUACCGGAAGAAUAAGCACCGGCUAACUACGUGCCAGCAGCCGCGGUAAUACGUAGGGUGCAAGCGUUAAUCGGAAUUACUGGGCGUAAAGCGUGCGCAGGCGGUUUGCUAAGACCGAUGUGGAAUCCCCGGGCUCAACCUGGGAACUGCAUUGGUGACUGGCAGGCUAGAGUAUGGCAGAGGGGGGUAGAAUUCCACGUGUAGCAGUGAAAUGCGUAGAGAUGUGGAGGAAUACCGAUGGCGAAGGCAGCCCCCUGGGCCAAUACUGACGCUCAUGCACGAAAGCGUGGGGAGCAAACAGGAUUAGAUACCCUGGUAGUCCACGCCCUAAAACGAUGUCAACUAGUUGUUGGGGAUUCAUUUCCUUAGUAACGUAGCUAACGCGUGAAGUUGACCGCCUGGGGAGUACGGUCGCAAGAUU
This 548-nucleotide ribosomal RNA is filed under the name uncultured bacterium. RNAcentral describes it as "partial 16S ribosomal RNA". It matches the Rfam family "Bacterial small subunit ribosomal RNA", at positions 355 to 895 of the family's 1533-position model. The record is from RNAcentral.